Molecule: ribosomal RNA, 465 nt
Filed under: uncultured bacterium
Lineage: Bacteria
Description: bacterial SSU rRNA
Rfam family: Bacterial small subunit ribosomal RNA
Source: RNAcentral
GACGAACGCUGGCGGCGCGCCUAACACAUGCAAGUCGAACGGUGACGAGGACUUCGGUCCUCUGAUCAGUGGCGGACGGGUGAGUAACACGUGAGCAACCUGCCUAUCAGAGGGGGACAACAGUUGGAAACGACUGCUAAUACCGCAUAACAUCAUCGGAAGGCAUCUUCUGAUGAUCAAAGAUUUAUCGCUGAUAGAUGGGCUCGCGUCUGAUUAGGCAGUUGGUGGGGUAACGGCCCACCAAACCGACGAUCGGUAGCCGAACUGAGAGGUUGAACGGCCACAUUGGAACUGAGAUACGGUCCAGACUCCUACGGGAGGCAGCAGUGGGGAAUAUUGGGCAAUGGGCGAAAGCCUGACCCAGCGACGCCGCGUGAGGGAAGAAGGUCUUCGGAUUGUAAACCUCUUUCAGCAGGGAAGAAGCAAGUGACGGUACCUGCAGAAGAAGUCACGGCUAACUACGUG